This 351-nucleotide ribosomal RNA is filed under the name Triticum aestivum (bread wheat). Its description in RNAcentral is "partial small subunit ribosomal RNA". The record is from RNAcentral. Lineage: Eukaryota; Viridiplantae; Streptophyta; Magnoliopsida; Poales; Poaceae.
AUGGAAAAAUCUGGAGUGGAAACAAGGUCUUCAGAGCAGACAAUGCUAUCUGACGAAGCGCAUGUCUUGCUUGUUACGGAUAGCUCCUCAGAGAACGAUUCAAAGACAGAUGACCAGUCCUAUCUCCCCCCCCCCGAGAUAGCUCUUCAGAGGAGGAUUCGGAGGCAGAUGAGCAGUCUUUUUAUCCCCCUGAGGUGUAUGCUCAAACUUGGCAGAGUUAUAUUACUCAUAUCAUGCAUAUGUUGUCUUGCAAUGCUUAGUUUUUACAUCAUAUACACAAUAUUGAAUGCCAUCUCCUUAGUUGACACAUCAUAUAUGCGAUUGCCCUCAGCUCACUUGCUUAGUAUAUAA